Molecule: ribosomal RNA, 421 nt
Filed under: uncultured bacterium
Lineage: Bacteria
Description: bacterial SSU rRNA
Rfam family: Bacterial small subunit ribosomal RNA
Source: RNAcentral
GAAUCUUGCGCAAUGGACGAAAGUCUGACGCAGCGACGCCGCGUGAGUGAUGAAGGCCUUCGGGUUGUAAAGCUCUGUGGAGGGGGACGAAUAAGUGUCGUCGAAUAGACGGCAUGAUGACGGUACCCCUUUAGCAAGCACCGGCUAACUCUGUGCCAGCAGCCGCGGUAAGACAGAGGGUGCAAACGUUGUUCGGAAUUACUGGGCGUAAAGCGCGUGUAGGCUGCUCGGAAAGUCGGAUGUGAAAGCCCUGAGCUCAACUCAGGAAGUGCAUUCGAAACUCCCGAGCUCGAGUUUCGGAGAGGAAGGCGGAAUUCUCGGUGUAGAGGUGAAAUUCGUAGAUAUCGAGAGGAACACCGGUGGCGAAGGCGGCCUUCUGGACGAUGACUGACGCUGAGACGCGAAAGCGUGGGGAGCAAAC